UGUGUAGGCGGCCCUAUAAGUAUGGUGUGAAAUCUCCUGGCUUAACCGGGAGGGUGCGCUAUAGACUGUGGGGCUCGAGUGUGGGAGAGGAAAGUGGAAUUCCUGGUGUAGCGGUGAAAUGCGUAGAUAUCAGGAGGAACACCGGUGGUGUAAACGGCUUUCUGGACCAUAACUGACGCUGAGACACGAAAGCGUGGGUAGCAAACAGGAUUAGAUACCCUGGUAGUCCACGCCCUAAACGAUGCAUAUUUGGUGUGGGUCAUUCAGUUGAUCCGUGCCGGAGCUAACGCGUUAAAUAUGCCGCCUGGGGAGUACAGUCGCAAGGCUGAA
RNAcentral lists this ribosomal RNA (330 nucleotides) under uncultured bacterium. RNAcentral's name for it is "bacterial SSU rRNA". It matches the Rfam family "Bacterial small subunit ribosomal RNA", at positions 568 to 898 of the family's 1533-position model. The record is from RNAcentral.